AAAUGCGAUAAGUAAUGUGAAUUGCAGAAUUCAGUGAAUCAUCGAAUCUUUGAACGCACAUUGCGCCCGCCAGUAUUCUGGCGGGCAUGCCUGUUCGAGCGUCAUUUCAACCAUCAAGCCCCCGGCUUGUGUUGGGGACCUGCGGCUGCCCGCAGGCCCUGAAAAACAGUGGCGGGCUCGCUGUCACACCGAGCGUAGUAGCAUACAUUCUCGCUCAGGGCGUGCUGCGGGAUCCGGCCGUUAAACGACCUUCAUAACCCAAGGUUGACCUCGGAUCAGGUAGGAAGACCCGCUGAACUUAAGC
RNAcentral lists this unclassified non-coding RNA (304 nucleotides) under plant metagenome. Its description in RNAcentral is "partial contains 5.8S ribosomal RNA, internal transcribed spacer 2, and large subunit ribosomal RNA". The stretch from base 1 to 104 matches the Rfam family "5.8S ribosomal RNA", at positions 51 to 154 of the family's 154-position model. The record is from RNAcentral.